CAGGCCUAACACAUGCAAGUCGAACGAUGCUUUCGGGCAUAGUGGCGCACGGGUGCGUAACGCGUGGGAAUCUGCCCUUCGGUUGGGAAUAACUGAGAGAAAUUUCAGCUAAUACCUUAUAAUGUCUUCGGACCAAAGAUUUAUCGCCGAGGGAUGAGCCCGCGUAGGAUUAGCUAGUUGGUGGGGUAAUGGCCUACCAAGGCGACGAUCCUUAGCUGGUCUGAGAGGAUGAUCAGCCACACUGGGACUGAGACACGGCCCAGACUCCUACGGGAGGCAGCAGUGGGGAAUAUUGGACAAUGGGCGAAAGCCUGAUCCAGCAAUGCCGCGUGAGUGAUGAAGGCCUUAGGGUUGUAAAGCUCUUUUACCAGGGAUGAUAAUGACAGUACCUGGAGAAUAAGCUCCGGCUAACUCCGUGCCAGCAGCCGCGGUAAU
RNAcentral lists this ribosomal RNA (435 nucleotides) under uncultured bacterium. Its description in RNAcentral is "bacterial SSU rRNA". It matches the Rfam family "Bacterial small subunit ribosomal RNA", at positions 43 to 524 of the family's 1533-position model. The record is from RNAcentral.